RNAcentral lists this ribosomal RNA (108 nucleotides) under Acanthosepion pharaonis. The record is from RNAcentral. Lineage: Eukaryota; Metazoa; Mollusca; Cephalopoda; Sepiida; Sepiidae.
GGGCAUAUCAGGUUUAAACACCAGUUCUCAUACAAUCACCAAAGUUAAGCAAUGUAGAGUCUGGUCAGUACCUAGAUGGGUGACUGCUUGGGAAUUCCAGGUGUUAUC